ACAGAGGGUGCGAGCGUUAAUCGGAAUUACUGGGCGUAAAGCGAGUGUAGGUGGCUCAUUAAGUCACAUGUGAAAUCCCCGGGCUUAACCUGGGAACUGCAUGUGAUACUGGUGGUGCUAGAAUAUGUGAGAGGGAAGUAGAAUUCCAGGUGUAGCGGUGAAAUGCGUAGAGAUCUGGAGGAAUACCGAUGGCGAAGGCAGCUUCCUGGCAUAAUAUUGACACUGAGAUUCGAAAGCGUGGGUAGCAAACAG
RNAcentral lists this ribosomal RNA (252 nucleotides) under uncultured prokaryote. RNAcentral's name for it is "partial 16S ribosomal RNA". It matches the Rfam family "Bacterial small subunit ribosomal RNA", at positions 525 to 775 of the family's 1533-position model. The record is from RNAcentral.